UCCCAGGGCCCGGCCCCGCGCGGAGCUGCGGUAAACAGGACCUUCUGCCGGACUCGCCCCCUCGCCUCUCGGGGUGGGGGAGAGGUGGCUUAACCCUUCCUGGGAGGACGCCCGCCGCGCGCGGGCUCCAUUCCACCCAGGCCCGGGCGGAUUCGCGAGGUGCUUCCGGCCUGAGGCUUAGACCUGGACGUCCAAGCCUGGGGAACGGCGGCCGCGUGCCCGGCCCCGCUUACUCUAGGCAGUUAACACACUCUCGGCACCGGGCCGGGGCCGGGGGCACCUCGGGCAGUGAGUCAGGCACCACCCUUGCCCCAGGCAGCUUGCCGUCGGGCCGGGGUAAUGACAGUCAUGAGACCGGCGAUGCAGAAUACAGGACAGUCAGGCCAGUGAAUCCAACUCUUCUGUGUGGACUUCUGUGCACAGGAUGAAAGGCACCUACCUCUUGCUUCUGAGAGACUUCCCUGCCUACUUUCUGGCCCAACGAGGCAAUCUCUUCAGAGUCAGGAGAAGGAGUGAGGCUGAUCUUGAACUCCUAGUUUUGAGAGAUCUUCCUGCUCUGUCUGGCCUCCCAAUGUUCUAGGAUUACAGGUGUGUGAGCCAUGGUGCACAGCCGCCCAGGUGUUUUUGGUGGAGGUGGCUCAAGUCCCCACCAGAGACACACUGGUUUAGAGCCUGCUCAGGAGGAACAAAGACGUUGAAGCUGCAGCAGAGACAGAGUCUUGCUAUAUUGCCCCGGCUGGUCUGAAACUCCUGUGCUCAAGCAAUCCUCCCACUUUGGUCUCCCAAUGUGCUGAGAAUACAGAUGUGGGCCACCAUGCCUGGCUGACACUUGGCAAUGUUUGAAGAUAUUUUAUUGUCAUAAUUGGGAAAGGGAAGUGCUAUGGUCUGAACGUGUCCGCCUCCAAAAUUCAUAUGUUGAAAUCCUAACGCCCAAAGUGAUGGAAGUCCCCUGCAUCCCGCAACAUUUCUUGGCGAGCCAGCCAGGAGGAGUGGAGACGGCAGAUCUACUGUCUCCUUUCCCUAUGGGGCUGGAGCCCCGGGCCUGGGGAGACCUGUGACCCCAGGUGCCACCUGGAGAACUUCAGCCUAGAGGGGUGAAAUCAGCUCUCCUGUGACCCAGCACCCCUACCCAGCAGCACAACAGAACCUGAGAGGGGCUACAGGACAAUUCCAGAAACAGCGUGCUUCAGGAACUGCGUUGCAGGUGUUUUACCUUGGAUCCACCACAGUUGGCUAAAACCGGCAGCUCAGGAC
Long non-coding RNA from Homo sapiens (human), 1254 nucleotides. RefSeq lists it as uncharacterized. The transcript has 6 exons. The record is from RefSeq and is a predicted model, not a curated record. NCBI's taxonomy places the organism in Eukaryota, Metazoa, Chordata, Mammalia, Primates, Hominidae.